RNAcentral lists this ribosomal RNA (164 nucleotides) under uncultured bacterium. Its description in RNAcentral is "partial 16S rRNA". It matches the Rfam family "Bacterial small subunit ribosomal RNA", at positions 355 to 511 of the family's 1533-position model. The record is from RNAcentral.
UAGGGAAUCUUCCACAAUGGGCGCAAGUCUGAUGGAGCAACGCCGCGUGAGUGAAGAAGGUCUUCGGAUCGUAAAACUCUGUUGUUAGAGAAGAACACGAGUGAGAGUAACUGUUCAUUCGAUGACGGUAUCUAACCAGCAAGUCACGGCUAACUACGUGCCCG